UUUAACGGCCGCGGUAUCUUGACCGUGCAAAGGUAGCAUAAUCAUUAGUCUUUUAAUAGAAGGCUGGAAUGAAGGGUUUGACGAAGUACCAUCUGUCUCAAUUUAAUAUUAUUGAAUUUAACCUUUGAGUUAAAAGGCUCAAAUUUUUUUGUAGGACGAGAAGACCCUAUAGAGCUUUAAGGUUUAUUUGUAUUAACUGUUUUUAUUUUAUUUUUUAGGCUAUUAUUUGGGCUUUUUUGUUGGGGUGACAAGAGAUAUAUAAUUAACUUUUAUUAUUUAUUAUACAUUUAUUUAUGGUUUUUAGAUCCAUUAUUAUUGAUUAUUAGACUAAGUUACCUUAGGGAUAACAGCGUAAUCUUCCUUCAGAGUUCAAAUUUACAGGAAGGCUUGCGACCUCGAUGUUGGAUUAAGAUAAUAGUUAGGUGUAGUAGCUUGAUUUAUAGGUCUGUUCGACCUUUAAAAUCUUACAUGAUCUGA
Molecule: ribosomal RNA, 477 nt
Filed under: Matrona basilaris
Lineage: Eukaryota; Metazoa; Arthropoda; Insecta; Odonata; Calopterygidae
Description: partial 16S ribosomal RNA
Rfam family: Archaeal large subunit ribosomal RNA
Source: RNAcentral